Long non-coding RNA from Nematolebias whitei (Rio pearlfish), 806 nucleotides. RefSeq lists it as uncharacterized. The record is from RefSeq and is a predicted model, not a curated record. The transcript is spliced from 3 exons. Lineage: Eukaryota; Metazoa; Chordata; Actinopteri; Cyprinodontiformes; Rivulidae.
UUUUUGUUGCUUUCUGUAGAUUUCACCUCCUUCCAAGUUGCCAUCUUCUCUGCCACUUCUGCCGCUGUACGACCAACCUCCCAUCAGCCCUUUCACCAGCCCUGAGACCUCCACCCCGCCUCCCCUGCCACGCUCCCCCUCAGCUACGCAGAACGGGGAGCACAAGCUUCCCCUGCCAGCCUCUUCACACAAAGGGCAGCUGUCGUCUCGCAGUCAGAGCUCUGGGAGGAGUCCAGUUUCUCCAGGAUUUGCUCAGACUCCGCCGCUGCGACUCACGAUCGAAGGAGGUCCAGGAAAACUACGACCAGUGCGAGCUGCUCCCCCUCCACCCAAACAGCAGCCCCGUCGGCAGCAGGACAAGAGCGACAAGACGGAGGAGGUGGAGAUCACGCUGGUGUGACGGACGAGCUGUCGUUACAGGUGCACAAAAGAUGGAACUGUAAGAAAAACAGGACCUUUGAGGGAGGGGGUGGUGCUCUGAAAUAAACUGAUGAGAACUGCUGAACCACACCGACCCCUCCCGGACACUCUGCAUCUUCAGGUUGAAGAGGAGAGCAGAGAGACAGCAGCCAUCAAUGAGUCCUCUGACCUAAUGAAGUGCAGCAGAAGAGUCCCUCUUCAUCCUCCCCCGUUCUUCCAGUCCGGCAUCAGAACCUCACCCCUCCUCUCAGGCAGCAAACCGGAGCGCCGUGGAGAAGAGGAGGAGCUGAUAAACAAUGUUUUUUCUUUUGUCUCGUUAAUCUGAAUACAAGGCAGCACAGAGGUGUUCUCUUCUUUUUAAACUCAUUUGACAACACGUUAUUCUU